AGGACGAACGCUGGCGGCGUGCUUAACCCAUGCAAGUCGAGCGGUAAGGCCUUUCGGGGUACACGAGCGGCGAACGGGUGAGUAACACGUGGGUGAUCUGCCCUGCACUCUGGGAUAAGCCUGGGAAACUGGGUCUAAUACCGGAUAUGACCUGCUCUCGCGUGGGGGUGGUGGAAAGAUUUAUCGGUGCAGGAUGGGCCCGCGGCCUAUCAGCUUGGUUGGUGGGGUAAUGGCCUACCAAGGCGACGACGGGUAGCCGACCUGAGAGGGUGACCGGCCACACUGGGACUGAGACACGGCCCAGACCUCCUACGGGAGGCAGCAGGUGGGAAUAGUUGCACAAUGGGACGAAAGCCUGAUGCAGCGACGCCGCGUGAGGGAUGGAAGGCCUUCGGGUUAGUAAACCGUCUUUCAGCAGGACGAAGCGACGAAGUGACGGUACCUGACAAGGAAGAAGCGCCGGACUAACUACGUGCCAGCCACGCCGAC
Molecule: ribosomal RNA, 489 nt
Filed under: uncultured soil bacterium
Lineage: Bacteria
Description: bacterial SSU rRNA
Rfam family: Bacterial small subunit ribosomal RNA
Source: RNAcentral